RNAcentral lists this ribosomal RNA (253 nucleotides) under uncultured bacterium. RNAcentral describes it as "partial 16S ribosomal RNA". It matches the Rfam family "Bacterial small subunit ribosomal RNA", at positions 524 to 776 of the family's 1533-position model. The record is from RNAcentral.
UACGUAGGGGGCGAGCGUUGUCCGGAGUUACUGGGCGUAAAGCGCACGCAGGCGGUCUGCUAAGUUUGGAGUGACAGUUGGUGGCUUAACUGCCAAAGUGCUUCGAAAACUGACAGACUUGAGGGCUUCAGAGGGACACGGAAUUCCGGGUGGAGUGGUGAAAUGCGUAGAGAUCCGGAGGAACACCAAAGGCGAAGGCAGUGUCCUGGGGAGUACCUGACGCUCAGGUGCGAAAGCCAGGGGAGCGAACGGG